Non-coding RNA from Cinara cedri, 8580 nucleotides. Lineage: Eukaryota; Metazoa; Arthropoda; Insecta; Hemiptera; Aphididae. The record is from the annotation of a GenBank genome assembly.
GGACGUUUGAAUAUAAUAUACAAAUUCAUAUUUACAGGUUUUUUUUUUUUUAUCAUAAUUUUUGUUUGUUCUUUAUUAUAAUAAUAAUAAUUAUAAUAAUAAUAAUAAUAAUAAUAAUAAUAAUAAUAAUAUCAUUGUUCCUAAAACGUUUAUCUAUAAAAAGUGACAUUUAUAAGUAAUAAUAAUAAUAAUAAUAAUAUUACAAUAAUUAUAUUGUAGCCUAGACGGCUAAAACAAUUGAGCACAGAACACUCAAACUGGUAAUCUUAAUUUACACAACAUCAUAUUAGUAUUACAUGAUAAUAAUACGCAAUAUUAAUAAUAUACUUAUAAAAUACAACAUAAUCAAUCGGUGUAUUUUAAAUGUGUUUUAUUUUUCGUCGGUAUUGUUAUUCACACGGAAACGACUUACAGUAUCAUACUAUGUAUUUCAGUAAAAUUUGCACUUGUUGUAAAAAAAAAAAAAAAAAAAAAAGAGAAAAAACCGUGGAUGUGGGCGAAUGGGGAGGGAAUACAAAAUUAUUAUUAUUAUUAUUAUUUAUGUUUUUACAAAAUAUCUACAAAACAUUUACAAACCACAACCGGUUUGGGAAACAACAACAAAAAAAAAAUUCCGCCCAUCAUCGGGCAUGUUAACCUUUCAAAGCCAUUUAUUUUAUUUUUUUGUUUAUAAUAAUUUUCAUUAAAGACGAAAAUAAUCGUCUAUAAUAAAAAUUACGUAUGCAAUUAUAUGAUUAGCCGUGGAUACUAAUUCAUGAUACCAAAAAGACGUACUUGUUAUUGGAUUCGGUUUCCAUCCGCAGUAAACGAUAUUAUAUAGCUUUUAAUUAUUAUGUUAUGUACACUUGCAGUGUUCAGAAACCAAAAAUCGAGAAUAUAUUAUGGUACAACAUUGGAUUGUUUGAUAAAAUGGACCUGUCUCCUCUUUGCGGUUCGCAGUUAUUUAGAAUUAAACUGCCGUGCUGCCGCACAUACUCACGGAAGGGGUUCAUCGUCGCGAAUUUCGAAAGAGAAAAGAAAUUACCCAUGCGGGUUCGUAGACGACCGCCUACACCGUUGUCGAUAAUGUUUUAAAUACCCUGCACAAGUCUACGAAGAGAGAAUGAAAAAUACGGUGGUUCAGUCGCGGGCGAAAAAAGAAUAAAAUACAGAUGUGACAAUCGGAUAGCGUCGGUUAUGUAAACGAAUAUGUCGUUAUAAAAAACUGAAAUGAAAAAAAAUAAAAAUUACUAUUUUAAUCUAUCGAUUUAUAGACGGGUAUAUUUCGGCAGUAUGGCACCGGAUGAGAAAAACCGUCCUACAAAUCUGAACUACGGCGCAUAAAGAUACGGGGGAACGAUAUAGUUUUAUACUUUUCAAAUGUAGGGCUAUCGUUCGAAUUGGACAGAAGUCUGCUAUAUUAUAAUAUUGGUCGAAAUCCCUUAUUGUAAUAAUAUAUAAUAAUAAUGUAUAUUUCAAAUCACGGUUAUGAAGGCCAGCAGCUUAUGCGUCGAGCAAUUGAUGUAUUAUGUGACCGGUUGGUCGUGAUGGUUCGUCGUUGGUCAUCAUUUUGCAUAAUGUAGACGUGCUCCCAGAACGCUCUGAUUGGCUGGAUCGCCCGUGCAUUCCCCCAGCGUUAGUCAACAAAAAAAUUUGUUCCGAUGAAGUGUCUGUAUGUUAAAUAUCAAUCUAAAACCUAUUCGACGCGAAACCACGAUGGGUUUAGAUGCAAGGGAAAAUCUCGCAACAGUUUCCAGUGAUCGACGGAUUCGAACCGGACGUUAUCGGUUAUAAGGACGUCGCGUUAAACCGUUGAAACGUCAUCAGAAUGACUUGUGUGACACCUACUUAAAAAUAUAGGCCGUGUUUCCGAGUGUAUAUGCAUAUCAGAAGAACGCAUAACCGGGCCAGAACUUGUUAUGGACCGUUGUUUUUGAUGAAUUUCGGAACAGACGCGGUCAAUACCUUUUUUGGUGGCACUUGCGGUCACUAAUUUUUGUUUUUUUUUUUUUAUGUACCUACGAAUUGGUUUUACAAUAUUGACAUUCGUGUUCAUAAUAAUAAUAAUAAUAAUAGUAAUUUGUUUAGUUCUGUAAAAACGAUUCAAAUUAGGAGCUGAGCACAUGGAAAUGUAUUGUUUGAUCACUUUUUGAACGCGGAAAGAAAAAAUAUUAUGUGAACAUCGAGAACAGAAUUGACAUCACAUUAAAAUCAUAACACGAAGAAGGCAGUUAGUUAAACAAAUUACCUAGACAGUCUUUCUUUUGUCCAAACACUUGCUUAAAAAUAAAUCAUACAAAAAUAACUGAAGUAUCUUAAUAAAAUAAACAGAGACAAAAUUUAUAGAAAUUGAUAGUUAUAAUUAUAGGUAAUAUAAAAAUGUUUUUAAAUAUAAUAUAUAUUCUAAAAAGAACAUUUACGCGUGUCGGCAACGAUUAAAUUAUUUGUUAUCUAGACUUUUUUCCUAAGCCUGUCAAAUUUCGAAGGAAGGUUUUAGUUUAGUUUAUUAUGUUUGACAUUAUUCAAAAUUAUUAUUACUAUUAUUAUUAACGCGUAUAGUAUGUCAACAUGGUAUAAUUAGACGGUAGAUAAAAGAGAAACCAAGUGACCACAAACGUGUAGACCGCGUCUGUGCCGACAUCCCCGUGACGCGGACAACUGGCAGCACGGUGCAGGGCAUAAUGACAAAAACAACGGCGACCUGCAACGAAUCGAGCGGCGUUUCUCCGUGCGAAGAAAACGUGUGUACAAUUACCCGAACACCGUCGCUACAAUUGUUUCCUAUAGUUAAUAAUAGUGUUAUUGCUUUCUAACAGAUCGCGCUCGAGUCACUAUGUUUUCCCGGCCUCCGGAAUUCCGUGUUGAAACUCGAUCGCAAUAUUAUUAGCGCCGUCGCCCGUCCAUAUUAAUAACAUUGUAUUAGUCGACGAGUUUAAUAUGUCGCCGCCACUGCGUAAUGUGUAUUACAGGUAUUCUAUUGGCACGGAGUGGUGCUAGUUAACCGCGUCAAUAGCUGCGGUCUGUGACGAGUUCCGGCAACAGUUUUCGCACUCGACGCAUAACCGCGCGGGUUUCGCGGGACCAUAAUAUUGUUAUGGUUAUUGAAAAAUCCACGUGAUAUGAAAAAAAAAAAAAAAUAAUAAUAAUAAUAAUAAACCGACCGGUCGGUUGCCGCGCGAGUAUCAAUAGCCGUAAUACUACACAUUUUUUUUUCCCGAUAUUACACCGUUAAUAAAAGAAAAUUACAAAAUUAUAAUAACUUACUGAAGUAGUACUGAGACAAGUUAUAAUAAUAAUAAUAAUAAUAAUAAUAAUAAUAAUAAUAUAAUACCUAUAGUUUGUACGGUUGUGCGCGUACACCCGACGGAUAGGUACCGAAAAUAACGUUAAAAUUGUUGGCAGUUAUAAUGUUAUAAUGUUACGAGUAUAAUAUAAUAGGUAGGCACGGCCGUACGAACUCGGUACUCCGCGGCUCAGCGGAUGACCUUACAAUAUUUAUAAUAAUGUUUUAACAAUACAAGACACGAUUCGACUGUUAUUCGAUUAUUUAAAGACAAUAAUAAUUAUAAUUUAAUAUAUAAUAUUAUCGCGUAUAUAUUUAAAAGUAAAAGUAACCCUGGUAAAAUAUGUACACACGUAAACCAAAUAUUUCAACAACGAUAUUUAUGUAGAGUAAAUUACAAGGUAUAUAAUAUUAAUGUUAUGUUCGUGACGCGGGUAAAUGUCGCGGUAUUUCUUUGAUCGUACGCGUGACAAACGGUUGUCGGAUAUCCGUGUUUAUGCGGACUCGAUCGGUUUGUUUGUUUUUAGUUUUUAUAGGAAGGGGAUGAAAGAUCGGCGCGAGGGGUGGGCGGGGGGCGGGGGGGAUGUUAGGCACAAUUUUUACGGUCUGGUCCGCCCGGACGGCGGCGAGCGCUUCGAUAUCCAAGGAGACGGGUACUCGCCGGAGAAACCCGAUACGGCUGCCACAACUGUGUGUAACGUGUCUGUGUACGGGCCACAGACCUUAUGCUGGUAGACGAGUGGUAACGAUUACGCUCCGGGCGUGGGAGGAUAGAGGGCGCUUUUCGGUGACCGAGUGACAACGCGUUUCUCGUCUGCGUUAGUGCAAGGCAGUGGUCGUCGACCGGGAUGACGCGGACCCGGCGUAGAGAUGACGCGAAGUCAUCGGGGAGAAGUAAACAAAACGAAUAAGAGAACUUCAAAAUUCGUUUAGAAUAAUAUCGUAUUGUCGCCACCAACGCCACCCGAACAACAACAUAUAAUAACAUUUCCACUUCGUCAUUCAUUUUCAACGAUCCGCGGCUAGGAUUUCCUAUAAUCUUAAUGGCUCGUGCUUUGGUAGGGCGACUCGGCGUCGGACAAGGGCGACAUGAACCAAUAAAGUCCGAGGACCACAAGGUCCGUGGUACGGGAACCUGCACUUUUUUUACGUCAUUAUAGUGACCCCGCGGAACAAUAUCGUUAUCGUUAUUAUUAUUUCGCACGGCAAAAACGUUUGUCACGGACGUUUAAAAAACUGUCGCGACAUUUGCCCCGGCGUCACCGUCGUAUCACCUUACACUAUCAUCGUACACCAAAUUAUAUACUACCGUAGUACGUAUCUUAGAUACGGGCGCGUGGUACGACGUUAUAACAUUAUUCAUUAUUUAUUGCGCGAAAACCUAUGAACAAUAAUACGUAAUAUUAUUUAUUAUAUUUUAAUUUAAUUAAAAAUUUUUUUUUUUUUUUAUACACAUAAUAUAAACAUCGUAAUUUUAUUAUUAUAUUGUUCUGAUAUCUCGGUCGCGAUGCGUGAGCGUCUGAGAUCCACCGGGUCGACUCGACCGUUGUCGUCGUCGUCGUUGAACAUGGUUAUUUUACGAGCCUUGAGGGUUCGGGCGUGUAUGCGAAAAAACUAUAAAAUAACGGGCGGUAUGGCGGUGAUUUUUAGUAAGAGAAAAAAAAAACAGACCAUAAAAGAAAACCUGAGAAAAUUUUUGUUUUUAUUUAAUCCACGUCCGAAAGAUGAAUAAAAAAAAAAAACCUAACCACGACAUAAUAAUAUAGGUACGGUUAAUGGGGGAUCGCUACACCACUUGGUGGGCGGGCGGGGGAGGGGAGGGACGGAUAAAAUCCGAACGUCAUUUUCGGGGCGCACGUCUAUCCUACGCCGCAGAUGCCGAAAGGCCGAGAAAAAAGAGAAACCCGUAUAAACGACAUUUUAUCGGCGUCUGUUUUUGUCCGACGAUAUAUCAUGAUUGUAUUAUGCGUACAGUGACGAAAAAAAAUUUGCGAACCGACCCGCGAGAUUGGAAAACAGAAAGAUCGUAAAAAAUUAACGGGAAAACGAGCGACGGUACGUUUUCAGGUAAUAAUAAAAAAAAUAAAAACGUUCCUCUCGCGGACACGAUUUUAGCGAAUCAUUUUACGACAAUCAGUAUUAUUUAGCGCAUACGACGGUACGCGUUUUGGCGCGAAUUGUAACGAUUGAGAUUAUAAAAAAAAUUAAUCCAACUGGGCCAUUUUAUUGUUGCCGUUUUUUAAUAAUAGUAAACGCAGUAUUCGAAUCGGGGGAAAAACGGAGACGGACGCGCGGCGGGUUUCAGUUUAGAAAUCGUUAGCGGAUAAACGAUUGCACGACGACUACAGAUCACCCCUGAACACUAAGUUCAUUUUUAAAUUUAUUUCAGUGUAAAAAAAUUGCAUGAAUGUAAAAAAAAAAACAAAAUUAAUAUUUUUGAAUUUAUGAGUUAUUUAUGAGUUACCGGACGAUCAUUAUUAUAACGCGGCUUGACGGAAAUCGAAAAUGUUAUUCAAAACCUAAAACCCCGUCUAUUAAUGGAAUGUUUAACUUUUUUGAAAAUCAAAACGUGUUAAGUAGUUUUUCGAUCCAUUUGAGAGUUGCAUAUUUCUUAUUAACAUGAAAUACAAUCCAGUAUUACGUAUUCGAAUUGUAAUCAAAUAUAAAUUACGUAUACGCAGUUUGAAUUUAAUAUAUUACGGAAAAGUCGAACGCAGACGAGAACGUGCAAUUUCGAAUAAAAAUUGACAUCGCGACAUUUUACUUUAGAUAUUAUAUUUUCGGAAGGAUUUUUUUCCAUAGCUCUCUUGUGCCAAAUUCUUUAAUCGCGAACGCGAAACAAUUCAAUUUCGGUGUAAUGCAAUCUGUACGAAGACAUUGAAGGGAACUCCGUUCGCACACGUCCCCUCACUCACCCACUAAAAUUCGAGCACGGGGUAAACGGUGUGUUUAUUUGGCCAGGUCAACGUACGUUUUUCUUUUUCAAACGAUAAUGCGGCGGUCGAAACGAUCAAAACGAGUAUGGAACACCCAGAGUCGGCCUAGUGCUGUUGUUACUAUCAAUCUCAAAUGAAAAUGUGCUUAAAAACAUCGCAUUACUUGGUCAAUACCAUGACGCACCCCUUACAUCCGCCUUCGCCCAUCUCUUUAUUACGUAUAAUAUUUACUACAGAAAUUCGCACACUGGCCGUUAAUAUACAAUAAUACAAUAACAAUAUCAUAUUCUUAUAAUAAUUAUGAUAAUCGUAACGUUAAGUACCUAUCGACUAUCGAUAUUAUUAUAUUGCAUGGUUAAUAAUAAGAUAUUUGUAACAUUUAUACUAAAUAUACAUAAUAGUGACCCUGCAAUUUGUUUACAAGUAUAACAUAUACAACAUUAUUAAUUGUUAUCAGUAAUAUUGUUGGUAAAAUAAUAUAAUAUACAAUACCUAGAUAAUAAUAAUGGUUAAUAUUGCAUUGGUAUUAUUUGGUUUUUUUUGUUUUUGUUUUGUUUUUUCUUUUUGUUUUUUUGUAUUUUGUUUUUUUGUUUUUUUUUUUUGUUUUUUGUUUUUUUUUUUUUAAUGCGUACAUAGUUUAUUAUAAUAUUUCAAUUUGAAUAAUAACCUACCUACCUAUAUUAUUAAUUUUCUUAUGAGCUUAAUAACGUUUAAAGUCCAGGGGAUUCGAAACGGGACGCUGGAGUAUUCCAUUAUCUUUCUUUGCCUACCAAAUAAUAAUACCUUGGUAGGUACCGUAGGAACGUCCGAGACCGGAUUUUAAUCUAUAAGCCCGAUAGACGCAGUGAAACGAUAACAUUAUCUGAAAACGUGAAACUGAAGCGUUAAGUGUACACGAGAUCGGCUUGGAUAACCGUUACAAUUUAUAUAUAUAUAUAUAAAUUUCUUUUUCAAAAUGUCCACAUUUUCCAAAUAGAUUUUUCGAAAUUACGGACUGUAGUUUGAAAAAAGUGGCCUGGCCGAUAUCGCGCACAUUUCACGUUGAAUUCAAAUCUGUUUUCAGAACUCUUAACGCGUCGGUACAGUGAUCGGACUGAAUCGGGCAAAUUGGUCUAUAUUGUUGUGCUACGCACCUGUGCGUUAUGAGAUAGACGAACAAAGAUAAGGGAAUUGGCCUGUUUCGUUCCGAAACCUCUUAAUUUAUAAUUUAUAAACAAACGUCGUAUGCGCUGUCGUAAACAUACUGUGGUCGCGAGCUGAAAAAUAUCGUACGCGCUGAAUUUUCAUUUUAUUCCGAGUACGUUAUUACAACAUUAACAAUUUACGCGGAUAAAAAAUCUGGCAACGUACGGCGACGAGCUAUCUCACGGACUACAGACGGAGGCCACUAUGACGCGUAUUAACUGUCAACGGGAGAAUUUCGACGCCCCUGUAGAAACGCCGUAAAAUAAUGCGCGCAAACGAUGAACCGAAGAAGAAAAAGACAAAGAAAAAAAAAAAAAAACGAACGUGGAAAAGAGAGAAAACGUUUUGAUUUUUUUCGUUCCUAUACGUACGAAAUACAUUUGACGACACUAUAUUACAGUGCCGUUAGUCGAGUACCAUGCACGGACGCUGGACAAGGAUAGCCCCCCCACCCCCCCCGAAAACCUCACAGUUACGACCAGAGUCAUUUUAAGGGAGGCGAAGCGCCCACUUGGCCGGGGGUCAUCUCGGAUUGGUAAAAUUAUCGGACACCCGUACAUUAUAGUAUUCGUUAUUAAUAUUGUUGUAAUUAAUUAAAAAAAAAAAAAAAAUAAUAAUAAUAAUAAUAAUAAAACAGUUGCAAGCGAAUUAUAUAAUUAUGAAAUUUCGUUUUUACUCCCGCGGGGGCCUGUAUGCAGGCGCUCAACACAAAGCUCCGGUAACGAUAAAAUAACAAUAAUACUCGUACGAUAUUAUCGUGUAUCGAAGACGACAACGCCGAUGGACCUUCGGUGGCCUUCGCGUACAAAUUUAAUGUACAAUAAUUAAUACUUAAUAUUAGAAAUACUUUGAAUAGUAAAAUAAUAAUUUUCGUAAAAACUGUCCGCGGAUGUGCGUUGACAUUGACUCUCGGAUGAUUUUCGUUUCCGCGCAUCGGGCGAUGCGUGGGGAGGUACGCCUAUAGUUUUUGCGGAGAGACGCGCGACCUACGUCAAUGUUUGUAUUCGGGAAAAUGUGUUUUGUUGUUGAGCAGUGCGGAUCGCUCGUUGCAGACGGUGUUGUUGGCGGCACUGGAGUCGGUCGGGCCGGAGCGGCUGCUGUAAUCGUUGACCGUCGUCGUCGUCGUCGUCGUCGUCGUCGUCGUACGGGCGGGUAAAGUGCCGGUGAUCGGGUAGUAGUUGGCUAUCGGGUUGUUGG